CAGCAGUGGGGAAUAUUGGACAAUGGACCAAAAGUCUGAUCCAGCAAUUCUGUGUGCACGAUGACGUUUUUCGGAAUGUAAAGUGCUUUCAGUUGGGAAGAAAAAAAUGACGGUACCAACAGAAGAAGUGACGGCUAAAUACGUGCCAGCAGCCGCGGUAAUACGUAUGUCACAAGCGUUAUCCGGAUUUAUUGGGCGUAAAGCGCGUCUAGGUGGUUAUGUAAGUCUGAUGUGAAAAUGCAGGGCUCAACUCUGUAUUGCGUUGGAAACUGCAUGACUAGAGUACUGGAGAGGUAAGCGGAACUACAAGUGUAGAGGUGAAAUUCGUAGAUAUUUGUAGGAAUGCCGAUGGGGAAGCCAGCUUACUGGACAGAUACUGACGCUAAAGCGCGAAAGCGUGGGUAGCAAACAGGAUUAGA
This 419-nucleotide ribosomal RNA is filed under the name uncultured Fusobacterium sp. Its description in RNAcentral is "bacterial SSU rRNA". It matches the Rfam family "Bacterial small subunit ribosomal RNA", at positions 349 to 782 of the family's 1533-position model. The record is from RNAcentral. Lineage: Bacteria; Fusobacteriati; Fusobacteriota; Fusobacteriia; Fusobacteriales; Fusobacteriaceae.